Molecule: ribosomal RNA, 253 nt
Filed under: uncultured bacterium
Lineage: Bacteria
Description: partial 16S ribosomal RNA
Rfam family: Bacterial small subunit ribosomal RNA
Source: RNAcentral
UACGUAGGGUGCAAGCGUUAAUCGGAAUUACUGGGCGUAAAGGGUGCGCAGGCGGUUUUGUAAGUCUGACGUGAAAUCCCCGGGCUCAACCUGGGAAUUGCGUUGGAGACUGCAAGGCUAGAAUCUGGCAGAGGGGGGUAGAAUUCCACGUGUAGCAGUGAAAUGCGUAGAGAUGUGGAGGAACACCGAUGGCGAAGGCAGCCCCCUGGGUCAAGAUUGACGCUCAUGCACGAAAGCGUGGGGAGCAAACAGG